CCAUGGAAGGCAACACACGGAAGUGCCCAAAGUAACUCGGCCUUUCUCCUUGCCUUCUCUUGCAGGUAAAUGAUGUGGAACACAAUGAGAUGCUGUCCCACGGAAGCGUCUUGCAGGGAGACACGGCCAGCGUGCCCACCUUGCCACCUCUGCCAGAGCAGGCAGUGGCCCAGGCAGCCGCACCACAGCACGUGCCUGCAGCUGACACACCAACAUCUGCCAGCGGCAUCCGCGAGCUGCCUGAUCUGCCAGCAGCAGCCUCUGCCUCCAGCGGCAGAGGAAGGGAAAAGGCCUUUGUGCCUGAAGCCCCGGGCCAUCAGGAGCUUUGCACAACUGCUCUGGACGGCCUUGGCAAACAGGACGAAGCAGCAGGAUCGGGCAAACAGAAAAGUGCUCCACCAAGCCCAGCCGUCAGUGGUGCAGCAGUGGAGAACACUGUGCAGUCCCCCCUGCCACAGGUCCAGACAGAAACUGUGUCUGAUGCAGUCAGACAGCAGGACCUGACACAAGCUCAGCAAGCAGCGGGAGCAGCAGAAGCAGACGAGGCCCAGGAGGCCACAGAAGGAGUGCGCGUCACUCCUCCAUCAGGGCCUGAUCCCGAAGAGCUUGCAGCAGCAAUCGCUGCCCACAGAGAAGCUGUGCCCGCUUUCGCAGGCAGGGGCUACGCGGCAGGGCACCAGGAAGGGUCUUGGGCCGAUCGGCACUCAGCAGUCCUGAAGCCGUGCAUCCAGUGCCAAGUGAUGGGCGCUAGGCUGUGGCUGCACCAUGAGUCUCGAAGGUCAUGUCGAAAGAUCCUGGCACAGAACACAAAGCUUCUGACAGACAUGGCUAAAAGUUGUGCGGCCUGUACCGGGCAAAGCCUGGACGACUACUGGGAAAUAACUAAGCAGAUGAAGAAGACAAGGAAGCAGAAAGCAGGGCAGAAACGCCCGUGUGUUCCACAGCAUGAGCCACGGGACACGGCAGAGGAGGAUGAGCUGGGAGAAGGUGAUGACGAAGAGCCAAUAAUCCAAAGCCACUGGGUCAACCCCAGGACCGCAGCCUUCCGCCGGGACCCGCAGGCUUCUCCUCAGCAAACGCCCGGCUCUUCCAGCAUCACCGACACAGAGGUUUCGGGAGAGUCAGAUGGCCAGGCACAGAGCACAGCUCUUCUUGCGUCAAGGCAGGAAGAUGCCAAGGCUGGAGCUGAGACGCAUGAUGGCCAUGGGAUGCCAGCAUCCACGCCAACAGUGGAAGAAGAGAAUGCUCCAGCUUCAUCUCUCCUGAGCGAACAGAGCACAGCUGCGAGGGAUGAGAGCCAGAGGCCUUGUCUGCACGACCCAACAGCCUGUGCCAUUUCUCUGCCGGACACAGCCCAGGCCAUGACAGUGAACAAGCUGGAAGACAACGAGACACUGCCCGGCAAUGGGGUCCCGCAGGAAGACACGGCCAGCAUGCCCACCUUGCCACCUCUGCCAGAGCAGGCAGUGGCCCAGGCAGCCGCACCACAGCACGUGCCCGCAGCUGACACACCAACAUCUGCCAGCGGCACCCGCGAGCUGCCUGAUCUGCCAGCAGCAGCCUCUGCCUCCAGCGGCAGAGGAAGGGAAAAGGCCUUUGUGCCUGAAGCCCCCGGCCAACAAGAAUCUCUCCCGGCUGCUGGCGGGAGUCGCGGUGAGCGCCGGCCACGGCGCAAUCUGCUCAGGAGGGCGCUUGGGCGUCUGUUCAAGGUUUGCUGCUGCUGCUGCAUCACAAGACAGGAAGAGUAGCGGUGUUGGGCCACCAGUAUCAGGCGACUUCUCAGAGCUGGUCGCUGGCCCUCAAGGAACUGUGCAGCACCCUGAGCCGUCAUCACAAGACAUAGCAGGACAGCACACAGUAUCACGGUGAUGUGCCAGAAGAGACAUUGGUCGCUUCACUGGGCAAGAGUCCCAUUCAGG
This 1919-nucleotide long non-coding RNA is filed under the name Meleagris gallopavo (turkey). Its description in RNAcentral is "lncRNA (ENSMGAG00000021711.1)". Lineage: Eukaryota; Metazoa; Chordata; Aves; Galliformes; Phasianidae. The record is from RNAcentral.